RNAcentral lists this unclassified non-coding RNA (350 nucleotides) under uncultured fungus. RNAcentral's name for it is "sequence contains ITS1". The record is from RNAcentral. Lineage: Eukaryota; Fungi.
AAAACGCAGCGGUUCUUUAACAAUGAGAUGGGCCAGUACGGAGAGGCGCCCUUCUUCUGUGAAGCCUGGAUCAACAAACAGGUCAUCGUGCAACAUUUAUAUUCUCCUGCCAUGUGGGCGAUAUUCCAGAUGCAGGAUAUCCUGGGCAUCGACGAGAAACUCAGAAGGCCGGAUCCGAAUGAGGAACGCAUCAACGUGCCUGCAAACCCUAAACAUUACUGGCGUUACCGCAUGCAUGUAUCGCUGGAAGAAUUGCUGAGGCAAAAACCAUUCACGAACGAUUUGAAACAGCUUAUUACCGCAAGCGGCAGGGUAUGAAUCUGAGGCAUUUUACCAGGCAGCUUCCAUUU